Molecule: ribosomal RNA, 440 nt
Filed under: uncultured bacterium
Lineage: Bacteria
Description: partial 16S ribosomal RNA
Rfam family: Bacterial small subunit ribosomal RNA
Source: RNAcentral
CCUACGGGAGGCAGCAGUAGGGAAUAUUGCUCAAUGGGGGAAACCCUGAAGCAGCAAAGCAGCGUGGAGGAUGAAGGUUUUAGGAUUGUAAACUCCUUUUGUUAGAGAAGAUAAUGACGGUAUCUAACGAAUAAGCACCGGCUAACUCCGUGCCAGCAGCCGCGGUAAUACGGAGGGUGCAAGCGUUACUCGGAAUUACUGGGCGUAAAGAGCGCGUAGGCGGGUUAGCAAGUCAGAUGUGAAAUCCUAUGGCUUAACCAUAGAACUGCAUUUGAAACUGUUAGUCUAGAGUAUAGUUGAGGUAGGUGGAAUUCUUGGUGUAGGGGUAAAAUCCGUAGAGAUCAAGAGGAAUACUCAUUGCGAAGGCGACCUGCUAGAACAUAACUGACGCUGAUGCGCGAAAGCGUGGGUAUCAAACAGGAUUAGAUACCCUUGUAGUC